CAACAUUUUUAUUUUCUUUGAAAAUAGGUCAGUUUGGCUCAUCAGUGGCCUCCUACUUCCUUUUCUUGAGAUGGAUGUACGGAGUAAAUAUGGUUCUUUUUAUCCUGACAUUCAGCCUGAUCAUGUUGCCAGAGUACCUCUGGGGUUUGCCAUAUGGAAGUUUACCUAGGAAAACAGUCCCAAGAGCUGAAGAGGCAUCUGCAGCCAACUUUGGUGUGUUGUACGACUUCAAUGGUUUGGCACAAUAUUCCGUCCUCUUUUAUGGCUAUUACGACAAUAAACGAACGAUUGGAUGGAUGAAUUUCAGGUUGCCGCUCUCCUAUUUUCUGGUGGGGAUUAUGUGCAUCGGAUACAGCUUUCUGGUUGUCCUCAGGGCGUAAGUUGCAUUUGUCAUUGAAUAAUGAUUUC
This 408-nucleotide long non-coding RNA is filed under the name Ictidomys tridecemlineatus (thirteen-lined ground squirrel). RNAcentral's name for it is "lncRNA (ENSSTOG00000034666.1)". The record is from RNAcentral. Lineage: Eukaryota; Metazoa; Chordata; Mammalia; Rodentia; Sciuridae.